GCGUUUUCAACUUGCGAUCUGGCAAUAACCUCAACAGAAAGAGCGCUUUUAGUGCUUCAAAGCCAGUGAAUGCAUAGCGUUUUCCUACCUUUGAUGUCACCAUUGACAGCAGAGCGUCCAGCGAUCUCAUAUUAGCAAUCGGAUUAUCCUCCACCAAGCAAGUGAAAGCUGACACUUUAUCGGCCGACGUCCCCGACCUUGCAGUCAUCUCG
This 212-nucleotide unclassified non-coding RNA is filed under the name Hevea brasiliensis (rubber tree). Lineage: Eukaryota; Viridiplantae; Streptophyta; Magnoliopsida; Malpighiales; Euphorbiaceae. The record is from RNAcentral.